This 433-nucleotide ribosomal RNA is filed under the name uncultured bacterium. RNAcentral describes it as "partial 16S ribosomal RNA". It matches the Rfam family "Bacterial small subunit ribosomal RNA", at positions 29 to 507 of the family's 1533-position model. The record is from RNAcentral.
AACGAACGCUGGCGGCAGGCCUAACACAUGCAAGUCGAGCGAGGACUUCGGUUCUAGCGGCGGACGGGUGAGUAACGCGUGGGAAUGUGCCCUUCUCUACGGAAUAGCCCUGGGAAACUGGGAGUAAUACCGUAUACGCCCUUUUGGGGAAAGAUUUAUCGGAGAAGGAUCAGCCCGCGUUGGAUUAGGUAGUUGGUGGGGUAAUGGCCUACCAAGCCGACGAUCCAUAGCUGGUUUGAGAGGAUGAUCAGCCACACUGGGACUGAGACACGGCCCAGACUCCUACGGGAGGCAGCAGUGGGGAAUCUUAGACAAUGGGGGCAACGCUGAUCUAGCCAUGCCGCGUGAGUGAUGAAGGCCUUAGGGUUGUAAAGCUCUUUCAGCUGGGAAGAUAAUGACGGUACCAGCAGAAGAAGCCCCGGCUAACUCCGUG